GGAGAGAGAGGUUUGGCUUUGCAAGAUUUGAAUUGAUCUUGCAUAUCUUUAAAGAAGAUUUCAAAUCUUAGAGAAUAUUUGCAAUUAAUGGAUGAUCUCUCUCUCUCUAAUCUCUCUCUAAUCUCUACACUCUCCAUAAUAUACUCUCAAUCUCUACUCUCUCCAUCUCUAUACUUAGUCAUUUAAGGCAUAUAACAUAUGGUAGAGAAAUUAAAAUAAAGUGUGAGAAGGGUGAUUAAAUAAAAAUCACAAUAACUAUGGAAAUGUCACUCAUUAAUAAAGUACCAUAGUAUAAUUAUUCACGUGACCAAAAAUAAUAAUUAUAGCACUAAUAUUAGUGCACUCACUCAAUUAUAAUAUUCCUCAUCAUAGGAAAAAUAAUUUAAAAAAAAUUAUGCUUGGAAAAAUUUCCAUAAACCGGCAUCGUUCGAUUUUCCGGUAAAAAUAAACUGCACUUGCUUUGCAAACUUAAUAAAAAUUCCAAGUGGUAAAGUCUCAAAUAAAAAAUCAUAAUAACUUGGUUAAAAUGACUCACGUAACAAAAUCACAUAAUCAAUCAGUCACGUAAAUUCACAUAUCAUCACAUCAAAGUAGUCGGCAAACACAAACAGACUAAACGUCUCUCAGACCGACUUUAUUUAUCAAGGUUUCUCACUCUUUCUUCCUCGACUCUAUUUCCAACUCAUUAUUCCCAUUUUCUUAAUAGGACAGUCAAUCUCUGAUAACUCGGUAUCCGGUAACUCUAUUCCCGGUAGUUGGAAAUAAAAUAAAAUCUGAGCUCAAUUAAAUCAGCAUCUCUAUCUCAACUCAUUUCUCAAAUCUCAUCACUCUAAUUCCAUCAUCGGUUUAUUCACUCGUAUCUCUAUUUAAAAGACAAUCUGUCUUAUCUGCUCAUAAAAAAAAGUAGUCUCGUAAUUCGACAUCUCAGUACUCUCAUUAGUGUUAAGACACUAUCUCACAACAUAGGAAAAGUACGGGGUGUUACAUUAACCCUGGUGAGAAUGUGACACACACCCGUCGUGCGGUGCGGACAAAAUACCUGUGUAUGCCCAGUACUGACAAUACACGCUCCUACUUCUCGCAAUAAGAACUUAGCCUUAGUGGUAAGUGUAGGGUCGAAUCCCACAGGGAGUGAGGAACCACUUUGUUCUCCUACGACAAACUGAGGUGUCACAAUUCUCAAUCUGUAUACUCUGCACAAGAAAUAAAUAAGAUCAAUAAUAACAAAGGGGUGAGGUUAUUCGGUUAGGUCAUAACUGUUGUUAACAUUCGUUUCGGUCAUAGGCACACUGAUGAUCCUUCUAUGAUCCAUUCAAGCCCAAGGCGUGGCCCAAAGACAUUGGGGCGUUUCAAGGGGUUGCACUUCACAUAUAGGAUGGUUGAUCUCAUUGUGGUCACUUGGUCCGAAGGUCACACAAUCCCCGGCCACAAGGCAGUGCUUCACUCCUCCUUAGAUAGUAGUCAUACCCGUUACUCACCAAGUAUGACCCUCACCAACCUUCUCUCCCGAGGUCCCCAACUCCACGCUUUUAGUGACACAUGCCUCCUGGACUCAACUAUUUCCGGCUUUGUCAGCCGACCAGUCAUAGUCAUGCUACGGCGCCGAGAUUGCUUUCCUCGUUUGAUAACCAUGGCUUUAUGCCUCGUCACAGUUGAUGGAUGGUCUCUAGAGAAGCCCAAGACUGAGGAAGGACAGUGUAUCCCAUCAAUCCUUUCCCCACCUUCCGGAUCUACAACGCCUUUUGUUGACGCUGCUCAGCUACUCGGUCGUGGGUAUACCGGUUGUCACACCCUGGUAUGCCCUGGCCUUUGCUUAACACGAACAGCGUUUUACCGAACGGAGAUCACCCGUUAGGCCCCUACUGUCCAUGGUUUGGCACAAAUCCGUCUGGAACCACGAGACUCAACCGAAAGAACAAGUGCCUCACAAAUGUUUACAUGUUAACAACAAUUAUUUCCACCCCUAAAACCUCACCAAGGGAAUUACUCACACAUGACGCAAUUCAUAAAUGCAAAAGGGAUUAAACACAUUAUAGAACGAAAAGAAAUACUGGAAUAAAUAAAUAGUACCUAGGCUUCAAGCCUUCGAACUUGUUCAAAAGUAGAAACACAACGGAAAGUGGAAAAGCACGAGAAUGUAAAUUGUUUUGGAUGCCACACACGGCGAACUUAAUUGAAUGCUAAAAGUAAAAACAAAAGUUUCAAGGUGUCAAGAGCUUCUUCACGCUGCACAUCAUUAGUCUUUUAUACUGUCGGAUGGUAGAGGCCCAACCCUAGCUGCGCCGGUUCCAAAUCUUCGCCGGGAUCUUCUUUCCUUAAUUAGCUCGAUCUUUGAUUGAUCCUGAUUGAAGAUGGCGUCCAGCUGCAAGCUUAGUCAACCUUUCCCAUUCCUUCGAUCCUUCCAGUUUCUUCUUCCACCUUCUACUUGUUUCUUCGAGAUCUCCGAGAUUUACCUUCCUUUUAUGGUUCUGGCUGUCUGCUUCUCAUGGUAACGAUCAGACGGAUUGCUCUCUUUGGUGUGACUUAUACCAGGUGGGUUGCUCCAGGUUCCCAUGCCCCAAGUUGAAUUGGAGAGGUACUUGUUGGCCGAAGCUCCAUGCUGGUAAACAUGACUUAGCAAUCCAGGCUCGGUAAUGCCCAUUCUGACCGCAUUUCUUCCGUUUCCGCUCUACUGACCUUUCUUCCUUUACAACUUCGUUUUUCCCCCUGACAGACCUGUACCGACGCAAAUAAAGGGAAAAAUAGGGCCAAAUGGCCCAAAAGUCGAAGACGCAUCACACCUACACACUUAAAGCAUACUUGUCCUCAAGUAUGUAGGUGGAUUCACAGAAGACACGGACGAAAAGGUUGAAAGAAAAGGAAUAAAACUAAAAGACACGAAACUUGCACAGAUUUCAGGAUCAGAUCAUACCAACAUGCAUCAUUCAGUUCAAACAGACCACAAACCAGAGUAAUGAUCAUGCAUAAAGUGUGAUGGUAGUCUCUCUUUUCGCUCAAGCACCGGGUUAAGUGUUUACACUCAUAAUUUGUUGUGCUAGUUCCUCUAAGAGUUUGAUUGAUGACUACAAGUUAAGCGCACUAGUAUGACUCAUCAAAGGGUCUUUGUUGGGUUGUAAUGGGGCAUACGGAGCUAAGGUGAGGUAUAUAUGGUUCAGUGGCUAAUUUCAGUAUCACCCUUACUCAGUAUACACGUUCAGUACAGCUACAACCAACCCUUAAUUUCCCGCUUUCAAUGGGGUUCAUUUUUCUUUAAUUCUUUUGUGGGCAAUAAUUUUUAUACAAUUUUUUUGUGCCCAGAUUUUCUUUCUUUCCUGUAAUUCCCUGUCCACCAUUUUAUUCACUUCAUAAAUUCUUUCUCCUAGAUAUAGCAUUAACAAAGCUCAAGAAAGAAUGAAUUCGGCUCAAGUUGGCAUACAAGGGAUUAUUUUUCAUAUUAAACAUCAAAGAAAAAUCUGGGGCCCUAAGUCAAAGAAUCGUGCCCAAAUCACACAAAUCAUGUACUAGCAAAAAUGAGUCCUCAAACAAAGUCAAGAUUUCCUAGUCACAGCAAAUUCUCACCAUAAACAUGCAUUUUUCAAUUUGGUCCUGAUCUCACCGGUGGGGUAUUCUUAGUAUCCUCACAACUACCAUCAUGCAUUUCAUACUCAAUCCACCAAUCAUACCAAAACAGAAAUCAGCAUGCACAAUCUUUCACCAUCAAACAAUGCAAGUAGACUCGACAUCAAAAACAGAUUAAACAGACACUAAAACAAGAAAAGCAAAAGAUAAAAUAAAACCUAAUCUACGAGUUCAGGGGAAAAGAACUUAGUCGUUUUGGUCGGAGGACCUAGCCUCCGCAUCCAGCCUCUCCUUGAUUUCUUUAAAACCAGCUUCCAUUGCUUUGAAUCCUUCCUCCAUGGAAUCCCUCAGCGUGGCCACCUCUCCCCCCAGCAUCAACAGCUCGUCUUUGAUUUCCUUCAGUUCGACCGUAAGCAUAACAAUCUCGCUACUGGUUGGGCGAGAAGUUCCCUGUUCCUUUGCAACUUUCGGUUCAGGUCAAACUGAGCUGCCAUCCGGUUGGACCAAACGGUAGCUGCCUCUUUCAUCUACCUCAACAAUCCGCCAACGCACAAGCCGCCCGAUAUCAAAAAGUCUGGUUUCUGCCACAUCAUUGUCCCUGUGCCGUCGUCGGAGACUCCUCUGCCUUGACGAACAAGGCAGCCACCCCGGCUCUCACAAGUGAAAUGAGAGUCUCACACAAACAGGUAAACUCUCCAAGUAGCAGAUCCCUUAUGAGCCGAAUUCCAUCAGCAUUUUUAUUUAAUUAUUAUGUAGAGAGAGAGACUAAUCGUCGAGGAGGUUGGUGUCUUUGGGUUAUGCAAUGGGAUUUUNNNNNNNNNNNNNNNNNNNNNNNNNNNNNNNNNNNNNNNNNNNNNNNNNNNNNNNNNNNNNNNNNNNNNNNNNNNNNNNNNNNNNNNNNNNNNNNNNNNNNNNNNNNNNNNNNNNNNNNNNNNNNNNNNNNNNNNNNNNNNNNNNNNNNNNNNNNNNNNNNNNNNNNNNNNNNNNNNNNNNNNNNNNNNNNNNNNNNNNNNNNNNNNNNNNNNNNNNNNNNNNNNNNNNNNNNNNNNNNNNNNNNNNNNNNNNNNNNNNNNNNNNNNNNNNNNNNNNNNNNNNNNNNNNNNNNNNNNNNNNNNNNNNNNNNNNNNNNNNNNNNNNNNNNNNNNNNNNNNNNNNNNNNNNNNNNNNNNNNNNNNNNNNNNNNNNNNNNNNNNNNNNNNNNNNNNNNNNNNNNNNNNNNNNNNNNNNNNNNNNNNNNNNNNNNNNNNNNNNNNNNNNNNNNNNNNNNNNNNNNNNNNNNNNNNNNNNNNNNNNNNNNNNNNNNNNNNNNNNNNNNNNNNNNNNNNNNNNNNNNNNNNNNNNNNNNNNNNNNNNNNNNNNNNNNNNNNNNNNNNNNNNNNNNNNNNNNNNNNNNNNNNNNNNNNNNNNNNNNNNNNNNNNNNNNNNNNNNNNNNNNNNNNNNNNNNNNNNNNNNNNNNNNNNNNNNNNNNNNNNNNNNNNNNNNNNNNNNNNNNNNNNNNNNNNNNNNNNNNNNNNNNNNNNNNNNNNNNNNNNNNNNNNNNNNNNNNNNNNNNNNNNNNNNNNNNNNNNNNNNNNNNNNNNNNNNNNNNNNNNNNNNNNNNNNNNNNNNNNNNNNNNNNNNNNNNNNNNNNNNNNNNNNNNNNNNNNNNNNNNNNNNNNNNNNNNNNNNNNNNNNNNNNNNNNNNNNNNNNNNNNNNNNNNNNNNNNNNNNNNNNNNNNNNNNNNNNNNNNNNNNNNNNNNNUCUAUUUCUUUUGUUUAGUAUUUGUCAGUAUUUAACCUAUUUACUGCCACCCAACUUACAAUAUAUAUAUAUAUAUAUAUAUAUAUAUAUAUUAAAAAAAAACUGAUAGAAUAUUUAAAUAAUGAGUGAUGCAAAUUUUAUCUUUUCAAACUUGAUUUCAGGUAAUAAUGCAGGCAAAAAGUUUCCCAUUGCAAGAAUGAUCAUGAGCCCCUCGGACUUCACAAAAUUUCCGAUUCGAUUUCAAAGGAGGCAGUUCCCACUAAGUCUUUGUUUUGCAAUGACAAUAAACAAAAGUCAGGGUCAGUCUCUUGCAAAUGUAGGUCUAUACCUACCGAAGCCUGUGUUUACCCACGGCCAAUUGUACGUUGCAGUCUCAAGAGUUAAUAGCAAAAAAGGCCUCAAAAUUUUAACAUGUGAUGCAGAAGGACAAACGCACAAUACAACUACUAACGUUGUGUAUAAUGAAAUUUUUGAUAAACUGUGAGGUAAUUUUGAAUAUCAUUUUUUAUUUUAUUUUUUAUGCCAUGCUAUAGAGAUUUAAUAAACUUUCUAUGUAUUAUUCAAAAAACUUUAUUAUUAAUUUUUUAAAUAAAAUGUUCAUUUUUAUGGAUUUUUUGCAAGUAAAAUUGGUGGAAUUAAAGAGUGGGUGGAAGUUCUUUUUAAGAAAUAUUCUAUUUUAGUUUUACACGGAAACCUUUUUUUAUUAUAAUAGUUGGACAUGACAUAUAAACAGUUUUUUUAGUAAAUGAUCUCCAUAAUUUAUAAAUAUAUUGUGAAAUAUUUUUUACGUCAUUUUUUUUAUAAAUUAUACUAACAUUAAAUGAUACCCGUCGAAAUUCGACGGGUUACACACUAGUUUAUCAUACAACGAUUAAUCCUAACAUGCUCCUAUGAAUUUAACAGCUGCACGUUGGAGUUCAGAAAUACCUGAAGAAUUCAGAAGAAUUCGUCAAUCUGUCGCUGAACAGGUCAGCCAACUUCAACGCUCCGUUCGACCCCUCAAACGAUCUCCAAUCGUAUUUUGUGCAGAAAUACGACUUAUUCGUCUUCGAAAGAGCUUUUCGUGGCCGCCUGUUUCACCUCAAUCGGAGUUCUGUAGAGGAAGUUAUGGCUGUUCUUCGGAGACUGUCAGAACUUGAUUUCCUGCGAAAAUCUGACUCCAGCUCAGAUCUUCUGAACUGUAUCCCGCUCAGCUUUCACCGUUGGAUGGACAACGUUCUAUGAAAGUCCCAAGAGAGAAUGUUCCACACAAUUUCCUGCGCCCCACACAGCUCUCAAAACCCUAAUUUUUAUCAGUGUGUUUUCCUGAGAGCUGACAGCUGUAUUUAUAAUAAAAAUAAAUACGUAGGAGGAGCAGAAAAGGUGUAGUAGGCGUGUUCUCUCCUUUCCCGGGCUAGGAGACUUUGGGCCAGUCCAGGGACCAGAUACAAGGAAUAAAGAUGGGCCUCAAAUAAAUUAAUUUAUCUAUGGUCAGCCCAGACCAUAAUUAAUUUAUAAAUAUCAGUUCAUUCCACUAGAGAACCAAUAUUGACUUACCCCUUUAUUGCCGGUGAUGAGUCGGGGCUUGUAUUCAGACUUAUUAAAUCCUCGUAUUUAAAAUCUCCGACAUCCAUUAAUUAAUUAUAGCUCUGACAGCCUUAAUUAAUUAAUCUCUUUUGUAAUCCUUAAGCAGUACCACUCAAACCUUAUUAUUGCGCCUGAACUUAAUCAACCUGCAGGGUUUAGCGCAAUAAACAUUAUUGAGCUCCUUAAGGGGAUGUCAUUAUCCUAUACGGAUACGAGUACCAAUACAGAUAAUCAGAUAUCAUAUAUUAACCGCUAUCACCCAAGAUACAGAGUACUCAAGUUACUAUAUAACUCUCGCUCAUAGUAAGUCAAAGUGAUAGACGAAUCAAUAUAUAUGUCUGACAUCUUAUUAGUAUUAAGAUCUUAUAAGUCACCGAGAUCUCUAAUUCUUCACUUAAGUCAGAUAGAAGAAUAUAUCUCACUGUGGUCCUAUCAAUACGUAUUACGUACCAGUAUAGAUAAGUAGUCAAGACAAACUACUUCCAUCUAUACCGCAGCCUAAACCAAUAACUUGUCCUAGAGUUAUUUCGGCUGUGAUUAUAUUAUAUCUCUUAAGGUUAUUCCAAUUAUAUGGUCUUCUGUGAUCUACAACACACCAUAUAAUCUACUUAUAUAGAGAUAAAGAACAUACAUAUGCAAUCAUGAACACAAUCAGAUAGGAGAUUAGAUAGUGAACUUAGGAAACAUUGUAUACAAGCAUAAAACGUUCUUGCUUUCAGUAUACAAAUCCAACAAGGCAACCCACUGUUGGUUUGUUUUAGUUUUUGUUUUUCUUGUUUUGUGCUUUUCGUUUUUGUGUUUUCCUUGUCUUUGGUUACUUGUGCAGAUGUUUUGAUUUUGGGUGUUAAUAUUUUAUUUCCAGCGCUGCAAUUCUACUCUGACUUUGCCACCAGCGCUGAAGAAUGCCAGCGCUGCAUUUCUACUCUGCCAAAGGCCGCAAGCCCUACUUUUCACCGCCUCUCACAGAGCUUAUGCUUUUCAAAUGCCGAUGUUCAGGGAAGUUUUUUCUAACUCUUUUUAUCUUGUGCCCUGAGGACAUGGCAUGCUUUAAGUGUGGGGGAGUGUCUUGUUUUGUUGCAUGCUUUCAAUUGGGCUAUUGAUCUCUCUAUUCUUAGCUUUCUCUUUGAUACUUGCUAAUUUUUAUGAAUUUGUGGAAGAGAAGAUGGUCUUCGAUGUAAAUUUCAGGUUUGUGAAUGAAUGGUGGUUAUUCUUGUUUUGCUUUUGAUAUAUGUUUCUUGAUUGUGCAAAGAAUUAUGAGUUUUGUUGCAACACGAUUGUAAGUAAGUAAAACGUGAUUUGUCCGGUAGAUGCUAGAAGGAGUGUUGUCAUUGUGAUUGCCUACGAUCGUAUCUGUAUCUGUUAAAUGUGUAAAAUGUUGGACGAAUUGCCAGCUCUGAAAUAUCUGGCCAGCUCUGAAAAUGACAGUGCUGAGUCUCUGCUCCUCUAGUCUAACUAUGAGCAUGGAAAACCACGUUAAAAGACUUUGGAUUACAUCCAAAUGGUUUUUAUUUCAUGAAUUAUGGCUCAACUGUCGAAAACUUAAGCACACAAAGUGUGAAAAAUGGUGAUAUUGAUUAUAAAGGCGAUCACAUUAGGGAAUUCACUUCUAGCGGAGAAUUGGGUCUGAUCGAAUUACUUGCAUUACUGUUUUGUUGCUUCGUAAACUUUAAGUUACUUGCAUAAUCGAGAGAUAUGUGUUGAUCGGAAAAUUUUGAAUUGGCUUUGUUGAAUGUUUAGAUGGAAAUAAACAUCGUUGAAACCAAUCUCGUUGAUUUAUGCUUAAUUGUUCUAAUUUUAGGGGUUUGAAUGUGCUCAUUGUAAGUUAAAUCUUCUGGAAAUUGGUGCGUUUUAUGGUGUAUUUGAUGCUUUUCAGGAGAUUUAGGUUUUAAUGGUGGAAGAGUAUAAUUUUGGGGAUUUUUGGCUAAAAAUGGCGUUUUUACGCCAGACCAGACCAGAGGAAUCAUAGGCCAGAGAAAUCAACCACCAGAGAAAUCAAGUCUCCAGAGCAGCGGAACCAAGCGCUCCGGAUCCAAAGAAGUCAUUCGCCAGAGAACUCGCUAAGCCAGAGAAGUCCGCCAGAGAACUCGCUAAGUCAGAGAACUCGCUUAGCCAGAGGAGAAAGGCGCCAGAGGAGAGAAAAGCGCCAGAGGAGAGAAAAGCGCCAGAGGAGUCGACCGUCAGAGGAAUCGAGGCGAGCGUGGACAUGCCAGAGAAAUCACCCGCCAGAGCGGAGGAAGCGCUAGAGGAAUCAAUACCAGAGCGGAACCCAUUCCGCUGACAAGAUCAGAGAAGUCAUCCGUUCCUCUGGCGAUAACCAUUCCUCUGGCGAGAGCUGCGAUUUCCGCCGAGUGGAGAAUACUUGUUGCGCGCGUCAUAGCUGGAGUUACCUUAUCAUCUACGAUUCUAUUCCUUUUAGAGUCCGGCUUUGCAUGGUAAUUUCCAUGGUGAUCCAGAAGGAGUUGAAGUCUAUAAAUAGGGCUAUAGUUUUCAUUGUAAAAAAUCAUCCAAAUUCUUGCCCUAGUUUUAGACGCCAUCUUUGCAAUCUGUUGGCAUCCGAAGCUUAGGAUUUACUUGCUUUCAUAGUUGUUCAUAGUUUUGAGUUUUUAUUGUUCUAAGUUAGAUUUCAAUUUCGUUUUAGUUUAGUUUCUUGGAUUGUGAUUGAGUGACACAAUUACACGUUCAAGACAAUUACGGUAUUUCAUAUUUCAAUUCAAGUUAUUUUCGUUUAAUCAUGUUUAUGCUUUUCGUUAUUGUUUAUGUUUUCUUUUCAAUUAUGCAAUUUCAAUUAUGCACUUUAGUUUCAUGCCUAGAUUAGAAGUCUUUAAAUUUACAAGUAUUUAAUUUCUUAAGUUAGGUUUAAUUCGAGUUGUUUAAAUUAUUGCCUAGGCUAAGUUUAAGUUCAAUUUACAUUUAAGUUUAAGUUACGUUUUUAAAUCAAAACCUUUACUGCUUCUUUUACUGUUUUUCCUGCGAUACAAUUAAAAGCCCUUUAAGACUUUCCUUGAGAGAUGACACUGGGUCAACUUACCAUCGCUAGGAUGUCCUUGUUCUAUUGCAAGUCAAACUAGAGGUGUUCUAGGUUGAGUCAUAUAGUGAAACCAACGAAGAACUUCCGUGGACGUAGAUCAUUUAUGAUCGAACCACGUACAUCUUGUCUCGUUUAUCGUUUCUUAAUUAGGGUAAGAUUCCAUGCUUCACCAAUAGCCGGCUGGAUGGGCAGCGCUGGGCUCGUCAGAACUGGAAAAGAUGUGCAGCGCUGGCGUCCUUCGUCAUAGUUGGCGGAGUAGUCAGAGCUGGGCUCGUCAGAGCUGGAGUGCUGGAUAGAGCUGGCAGAAGACUUUUAGCGCUGAAAAUUCCCACUUCUUCCACAUGGUCAGAAAUCUCAACAAAAGAACAGAAAUGCAUUAAAGAGGUAGGAAUAACAGGCUUCUUAUCGAAAACUGAGAACGUUACCGAUCUACCGGACCCCGCCAUACUCACAGUUCCAGAUCCCACAUCAAUAUGAGUCUGGGUAGUAGCCAUAAAAGGCCGUCCGAGUAGAACAAGAUGUCCAUUCUCUCCUAUAACGCCCUGCCCUGCAUCAAGCACCACGAAAUCUGCCCGCACAUUAAUUCCUCUCACCGUGACUUCGACAUCCUCUAACACUCCACGGGUGCUGCUAAUUGCGCCAUCGGCUAGCUGAAUUCUCGUAUUCGUGCAUUUCAACUCAUCUUCUUUUCUGCCCAAUUUCUGAAAAAUAGCAAACGGCAUUACAUUGAUUGCCGCACCUAAGUCUAACAUUCCCAAGAACUCUCCAGCUCUACCCAAACCAAUACUAAGAAUAAAGCUGCCAGGAUCUCCUUGCUUCGGUAAUGGUUGGGUUGGAUCAACAAUCGGUGGUGGCAGAGGUGGGCUGGAACGUUGGACAACUUUUGGUGGUCGAUACGGCGUAGUGGACUUGUGGAGAGUUAGUUCUGGCCGUCUUAUCAACUCUGGCGCUCGUCUCAGCUCUGGUGCUCUUCUUAGCUCCGGCGUCCUUAUCAGCUUAGGUGCCUUUCUCAUGCCAUAGUUUUGCAGAACUGGAUUUGGCAUGACUGACCAUUGCAAUGCUGCACUUGGCAAGGCUGCACUCUGCGGGGCCGGAUUUUGCAUAGCUGAACUACGCAAGGCAGGAUGCUGCAGAGCUAGACUUGGCAUAGCUGGCUCCUGCAGAGCUGGAUUCUGAAGUGUUAGAUUCUGCAGGUCUGGAAUCUGCAGUGCUGAAGGUUGCAUAGCUGAAUUCUGCAUGGCUGGUUUCGACAGGGCUGAGCUGGGCAGCGCUGCUACCUUCUUCUGCUCUGGUACCGUAGUCGGUUCCGGCAUCCUCGUCAGCUCUGGUACCCUGGUCUGCUCCGGAAUCCAUGUUUGUUCCGGUAUCCAAGUCUGCUCUUCGAGAGCAGUGAUAGAUAAAGCUUGGUGAUCUUGCAGAGGUUGACCAUGAAAUUUCCUGGGCUGCUGCUGUUGUUGCAAUUGAUUCAAGGUGUCCGACAGUUGCCCUACGGUGGUCUCAAGUCUUUUUAUGGUGGAUGCUUGAGACUCCAUAUUCUGCUUAGUCAUCUCCAUAUUUUGCUUGCUAAUCUCCAUGAAAGCUUGCAAAGUAUCUUCAAGUGAUGACUUCUGGGGCUGAGCGUGUUGCUGCGAAGGCUAAAAAUUCCCUUGCUGUUGAUACCUCGGUGGAUAUUGUUGGGGAAAAUUUUGUUGCGGUGGGCAGGGCUGCUGACCUCUCCAUCCAUUAUUGACGUUUGCCCUUGAUUAUAAUUCUGUGGUCUGCUCUGCCCUUGAUUGUAGCUUUGCCCUUGAUUGUAGUUUUGCACGAAGCCAGGUCUGCUCUGCAUUUGGUUAUAGCUCUGAAAUCCUUGUACCGCAUAGAUCUCAGCUUGACCCUCCGGAGUGAACUCGCCCAUUCUGUGACACUCAUUAGCUCCAUGGCUGAAAUCUCCACAUAUUCUGCAAGGCUCGCCAUUCUGCACCGGGACGAAAGGAGUUUCCAUCUUGCCCAUCUUAAGAUGUUGCACUUGUCUCACAAGAUCGGCUACUUGCUUCUGCAGCUCAAACUGUUGCGUCACAGAGCUGGCCUCAACUCUUUUCCCACGGACUGAUUUCUGUUGUGAGCUCUCGGCUAAGGUCUUGAAUAUCUCCUUCAGCUCUGCUGCAGUCUUCCGAGCUAUGUUACCUCCUGCAGUGCUAUCCACCAUGAAUUGGGCAGUUUCUACUAACCCAUCGUAGAAAAACUGCAUUAACAUCACGUUGGGAAAUUGAUGUUGAGGGCAUUGACGGAGUUAUUCUUCAUAUCUCUCCCAAGCUUCAUGCAAAGGCUCAUCCGCUCCUUGUUGGCUUUCUUUCUUCUUGUUCUUGUUGGCUUCUUUUUUGGCUCUCUCCUUGUUUGCGCCUGUGCUCUCAAGGUUUUUGAAUAUUUUUUUCUUCUUCAAUAAAAUUUCUAUUUCAGCAAAUAAACUGAAUACAAUACUGAUUAAUUGCAAAGAGAAACUUAAGACUAACAACGUGCUCAACAAAGGCUAUCGCGAAACAAAAGUAUUUUCGCUGCGUAUGUUAUCAGUCUGACUGAUCUAUCCUAUGAUAGUUUGCAAGAUUUAUAACAUCUCUGUUUUUAUCAAACUCGACUGAAGCCGUACGUGGAUCAGUUAAGUUCAUCAGUUAAGUUCUUGUGACUUAACUGAUAACUCAUUACUGAAGAGUCUUUCAGUAUCAGUCGUCAACCCUGUUUCGGUCAAAACUGUUUUCAGUAAACAAGUGUCUAAGUUUGUGUGUAAAGUUUCGUUUUGAUCUUGUCGCAGCCCGACGUCUAGCCAGUGAUAGCGUAGACCGGGUGUCGAUACGACUAAACAAACUAAUGAAGUAAAGAAGGAAAAACUAGAUCAAACAACUAGCGGAAGCUCACAACUAAACAUGCAAAUAUGAACAACAAUAACAUCAUCUCAAAGACACAAAUAUUAUCGGCUUCAUAAGUUCAAAAGUACAGGGAUUCUCGACAAAGUUUACAAAGCGGACAUAGUUAAAAAUUUACAAAGGUUUAUAAUUUACAGAGUCUCUGAUAACACUCAUAUUUCCAUGGUUUUAGUGUUCAUAUGAUGUCAAUUUUAUAGGAAAUUGAGUGUUGGAUGAUAUUUUUGUGCUUAAUUUGUUUUAUCUUUUGAAACAUGAUUCUUACUCGAACUUUGAAGGAAAUUUCAGGUUUAUUGAGUUCGAAUUUGGAAACCUUGUCCGAAAUAUAAGUUGUAGAUCGUCUCGAUACGAGUUCGUGAGCACAAACGGAUCACAAAUCGGAGUUCGGACGAGAAAGUUAUGACCAAAAAAAGAGAGUCGCGCGCAGCAGCGAAACAGCGGCGACCCCGCGGCGACCGGGCGGCGACCGCCGCCUGAAGAAGGAAAUUUGUGAAGGAGCCGGCAACCGGGCGGCGAUCUCUGGGUAGCCCGCCGAGUUUUCGGCGCCAGCGGCGUCCGCGUGGUGAGCGCCGUCCGAUCGCCGCUAGACCGCCGCGCCUCCGUGUUUUUGCGUUUUUUAUGCGUUUUUCAAGUCCUUUUCGAGCUCAAACUCUGUAUUUUACCCUGGUACUAUAUAUAGGUCUUCUUUUGACCUAUUUUGGGUUCCUUUUUCAGUUCCCAACUUUAUUUUUCAGUUUUAUAGCUUUAGCUUUACAUUUAUUUUUCAGUUUUUACUGCUUGGAUUGGANGGGUUCGUAAAUAGUUGAUUGGAUUUAUGUAAUUUAUUUGUUAAUAUCUUUGUGCCUUCUAGUUUAUGAUUCAUAAUUUCUGGUGCUUAAUUUCUUGUGAAUUAUCUGAUCAAUAGUUUGCAUAUUUAGCUAUUCGAUUUGAGACCUAGCGGAGAUAACUGUUUAGCGGAUUCAGGAAUGUAUGAUAUGAUUUUAACCUUGAGACCUAGCGGAGAUAGGUGGAUCAUAUGGAGCUAUUCUUAGGAGCUAUUGGGAGUUAGUAGAUUUUUUGAGACCUAACGGAGAUAGAUAAUUUACUAAUCUACGAUCAUUGCUGCUCUAGCGAGAGUGAUUGAUUAAUUAAGUGAUCUCUCAUCAUAACUGGAUUAAAUUGGUACAUAGGAUUAAUAGAUUUAUUGCGUAGAUUUAGUUAACGAAUUUACUACCCUAGGAUCAGUUGUCUUUUAAUAUUUGGUUUUUCAUACGUGUUUUGAUUUAUUGUUAUUUGCGUUUUAGUUUAAGUUAAUUAAACCUUCUUUAUUUUCGUUUGCCUGUCUACUGUUUUAGUCUGUUUAGGAUAUAGCUAGAGUUAUUUCGUUGUGUCAGUCCCUGUGGAUACGGUCUUCGAUUGCUGUUUAUACUACAAUUACACCAUGUUAGUUGCGGUAUUUCUAUUGCUAAUAAAAUAGUGAUCAGUCUCGCAGCAAAAUGUGAUCAGACUGUAUGUAUGAAGACAUAUAGCCGAGAGUGUAUUUUCUAAUUAAGUUCAAAAUAUAAAUACAUCCAACCUCAAAAGGCUACCAUAUGAAGUAGAAAUACGGUAAAAGAAACAACGUCAUCCAAAAUAAGUCCCCGCCAGCACCAGACAGAUCUUCCUCCUCCUCGAUUAUCCUGCACAUUUAGAAAUACAUGCAGGGCUGAGUACAAAGUACUCAGUGGACAUAAGCCGAAAAACAAAAGAAAGCUUGCUCUUAGAGCUAUAAAUUGAACUUGCCAUAACAUAAGCAUCACACAGGGAUUUUAGUAUAAACGAACCUGUGUAAGCAAUUUCACAAUUCAUAAACAUCACAAUAAAGUAACUGCGCAGUUUAAACAUUCAUCAUGCAUGUACCAUAUACUAUUCAUCGUCAAAGGUACUGAGAAGUAGGCCUCCCACUCAAGUACCGUGACCGGCCGACCCGAACGACGGCUCACAGUCACCUCUGUGCACAAAAUCCCGCUUGUGGCAGGACCGAAUUCGUCUCAACAGUAGAGGGUAACAUACAAGUUUAUCAUUAAAACUUGGCAAGUCAAUUAGUUUCAAGCAUAACAUUAACUCAAAUCGUAAUCAUAAAUAUCAUAUCAUUUAAGAAAGCUCGUAUAAUAUGUAUACUCAAAAUAAUGCCCACCUAGCAAACUUAGCUUACUUUGUAGCACUUGGGCGAUCUUACUUCUAAUCUCUGCUCGUAGCUUCAGAUGUCACAACGUCGAAGUGGUUCAUGAGAUAAGAUAAAUAAAACUAGUCAGGAACUCCCUUACUAUGUAUAUCAUUCUUAUCUCAAUGCUAUCUCAUCACUCAUCUUUUAUAUACUCCAACUAUCUCAAUCUUCUCCAUACAUACAUAUAUCCUAAGAAAUCAUAAAUCCUACUCUCGACUUGUCACUCAAGUAGGGCUAGACUAAUAACAAUCAAGCACAUAGACAUGCAUAGGCACAACAAGCAAACAUGCUCAAACUCCAUACUUCUUUAAUGAAAACUCUUCAAAACUCAAAUUAAACUCUUAUAACGCUCAAGAACAUCAAUACAAAAUCAUUUGACUCAUUAGACUAGGCUCGGUGGCCAGAGCAGAGCAGAAAAGAAACAUCAAACCAACCUUAGAUCUAUCAAUACAAACCACUUAAACACAUACAUAAAUCAUCAAUUAACAAUUUUAGGCAUAGGUACACAUAUACCUAAUUUUUCAUCAACUAACUCACAUCAAAAUCAUCAAUUAACAAACCACUUCAAAUCAUCAAUCUACUCCAUCAAUUUUCAUAUUAGUCAUCUCAUAAACUCAUACUCAUCAUCAAUUCAUCAUUUAAACAUUAAACUCAAGAUCUCCCAAUUUUAGGCAAACUAACCUAAGUGAAAAAUUCACAUCUCAUGACAAAGCUUCACAAUACACAUAAGAAUCAUCUCAAAACACCUCAAUAAGCAUAGAUCUCAUGCGAAUUUAAGAAAAGAAUAAGAAAAAAAUUUGAAGGGCAAAGGCCCUAAUUUUCGAAAAUUAAGGAAAAUGAAGGAGGGGGGAGUUUUCAUGCUUCAAUCAUGCAUAUACACACAUAUAUAACACCAUAGAGUCUAGAUCUAUGAGAUUAAAACACUUACUCAAAGGCUUUGAGUGAAAAGAAAAUUUCUUCUCUCUAACUUCAAGCUUAAUCUCUAUCAAUCUUCUUGAAUUCAAGUGUAUAGAGUGUUUAGGGCUUGAUUUAAUGGUGGAUAAUAUCAUAUAAAUGAUUUAAGAAGCUUAGAAGGUUGCUUCAAUGGUGAUCAAUGGAGGAAAAUUAGAGAGAGAUGAGAGAGAGAGGGUGAGGACGUGUGGUGAGGGAGUGAGAGAAUUGUUUUGAUUUGUUUAGAUACUUGCUCCCUAAGUAUAUUUGCAUUUCAUGAACUUGUCCCAUAAUCCUCAAACAUAAUUAAUGUUAAGUGUACCACUUGUCCUCUUGGCAAAUAGCACAUGCUAAAUUCAUUAAAAAUAAUGUGUGUGUGUGUAGGAAUGUGUAGUAAAAUUAAAUCAUGUAAUAUCAUUUACUAAUUAAAAAUAAAAACUUUACUUAUGCACUAGUGUGGCCAAAAUAAAAAUAACACUAGUAUUUAGUGCACACACAUAACUCACUUCACAUUUAUCAAAAAAAAUUAAUCCCGAGAAAUUUCAUUAGAAAAAAAAUGUAUAUCUUGACUAGUGAUAUUAUUAUUCAUCGUUUAAAAAAAAUCUCGUUCGUAAAAGAUUUCAAAGUAAAUCUCACAUGCUAUAAUUCUCAAGAGAAAUCAUAGUCACUCAAUCAUAAAUGCACACGUAACAAAUAGUCACAUAAUUGGUCAAACAAAUAGGCUCACAUAAUGUCAUGUAAAAACAAUCGACAUUCAUAGACAAACGAAUCAUCUCUCAAAUCGACUCUUCUCUUCGGGGGUUCUCACUCUUUUUCCUCAACUCUAUUUCUAACUCGUUGUUCCUAUUAACAUAAUAAGACAAUCAGUCUCACCGAUAGUUCUAUAUCCGCUAUCGGAAAUAAAAUAUAUCUCUUCUGAAUUUCAAUCAGCAUCUCUAACUCAACUCGUUUUCUCAAGCUAUUCAAUUUCUAACUCCAUCAUUGGUUCUAACAACUCAUAUUUCUAUCUAUAAAGAAACUAUGUCUCAUCUAAAAUAAUAAAAAAUCUAAUAUAUCUCACUAUCGAAAUACUCUCAGUACUGUCUCAACACUAUUGCUAAUAAGAAAAAGUACGGGGUGUUACAGAUCUCUAUCUUGAGAUCCAUCUGAUUUCGAAAAAUAGCAUAUAUGUGUAUUUCUCCCCCCCCCCCCAUACACCUAUUCGAGACCCUCCGGACCUAACAUAAACCCUAAACCCUAAACCCUAAACCUUAAUUCACAAUCAGAAUUUUUGGUUGUGAAUUCGACUGGGUGUGAAUUCACAACCAAAAUUUAAUUCACAAUCAGAAUUUUUUUGUUGUGAAUUCACAAUCAGUCGAAUUCACAACCAGAAUUUAAUUCACAACAAGAGUUUAUUUUGGUUGUGAAAUCAAUUAGUUGUGAAUUUCAAUUUUUAAAGUUUGAAUUCACGACUAAAAUUAGAGUUUAUUUUAGUUGUGAAUUCGAGUUUUAGUCGUGAAUUCAUAGAUUUGAUUGUGAAUUCAACAAUAUUAAGUUGUGAAUCCAUCGAACUGGUUGUGAAUUCAACAAUAUUAAGUUGUGAAUCCAUCGAACUGGUUGUGAAUUCAUUGAUUUGGUCGUAAAAUCAAAUUAAAAUGGAGAAAUAAGAAAAACAUGCCGAAAUAAGAGAAAUAUUAUUUAGAUUGGGUGGAAUUCACCAUCACACAUCAAUUCUACUCAUCAUUUUUUAAAACACAGAAAUCCCUAAAAAAAAGGAACAAACAUUAACUCCACCCCCGUCUCCAAGCUAAACGAGAAGUAAUGCGGAAACGCCACCAAUUCCUUCAAUUCCCUCCCCAUAUCCACCACAAAAUAGUCGAAUUUGGGCUCGAAAUUCUCCUUGAUGCUGUAGCAGAAGAGCGACGGGAAGCGCUGGAACAUCAGGAUCGCGUCCUAGACGACUCGUGGCUGCUCACCACCUACCUAGACGACGAGCUUCGCGUUUCGAGAGGAGAUGGUGGCAGCAUAUUUGUGCUCAUCAAGGAGGCCAACCCCCUUUUCACUAAAUCCUAGACGAAUGCUUCAUUUUCAGUCAUGUCUAGUAUGCUCGUUCAUCAAUUCUCUCAAAUUCCAAUGCUAUAAGCUUCACCCUACAAAAACAACAUCAACUUUCCUUUGUGGAUUUAAAUAUGUAUAAUCGACUUAUUUCAUGCUUUCAUUUGAGCUACUUGCAGAAUACUGUCUCCAUGUUAUGAUAGAAAUGUCGGAUCUACUUUUGAUUAACAUGAAACAGUAAACAUUACACUCAUUUAAUUUCAUUGAAAAUUACAUUAAAAAAUGUACAAAUAAAUCAGUGCAGACUUGAUGAAACACCUCGAGUAUAGUCCCUCUAAACUCCUCAGAGUUCAUGGACAUAUAAUAAUUCAAGAGCCCACGCAGAUCCUUUGUUUCGUGAAUCCUGUUUGCCACAAUUAUCUGCUCCAUGGAGUUUCUGAAAUUCUCUCUAGGAUCAUACGCAGAUAGGUCUCUAAUUUCUGCAAGUAAUCAAUUCGGGAAUAAACUUCGAUUCGACGGAGCACGAUAGCAGGAAGGUGAAUCUGCUGACGCCCUCGAUGCCGAUUGUGCCCUGGAGGAAGUAGAGAGCGGGGCGGAGCUGCCGCUCCACGCUGCAGGCGAGGAGGCGGAGGUCGGCGGCGUCCACGCGGGCCUCGCGGAGGAGGAAGGUGGAAGACAACAGCCGCCGACUCUCCAGAUCUGGAGCAAGAUGUCGAAGACAACACCCCAGCCGCCGACUCUUCCCUUUCCACUUCAACCACCCCAAGGCCACCAGAUCUAUGCUCUCCACAAGUUGAAUCCGACAACUCCAAGUUAGAAUCGAGAGCGAGAGAUAGACAGAGGUGUCGCGGUGGUGGUGGUUGUGCGGCGCUGCCGCUGCGAUUGCCGGAGAUCUACCACCGCAACUGCGGCUGCGUUUCUCCACAAAUUGAAUCCGACGACUCCAAGUCAGAAUCGAGAGAAAGAGAUAGAAAGAGGCGUCGCGGUGGUGGUGGCUAUGCGGCGCUGCCGCUGCGAUUGCCGGAGAUUGAGUGGCGGCGGCGCGGCAGACGGGCGGCGACAGGGAGAGGGAGAGGGAGCGUGAGAGAGAGAGAGAGUACAGCGAUAGAGAGAUGGCGGAGGCGACGAGGCCGAGGCGGCGCCGCUUCGCCGGCGAUCUGAGCUCGAAGGGAGGGAGGGAGAGAAAGAG
RNAcentral lists this long non-coding RNA (19126 nucleotides) under Salvia miltiorrhiza (redroot sage). RNAcentral's name for it is "long non-coding RNA (SMIL_LNC005608)". The record is from RNAcentral. Lineage: Eukaryota; Viridiplantae; Streptophyta; Magnoliopsida; Lamiales; Lamiaceae.